This is a long non-coding RNA of Bos taurus (domestic cattle), 2213 nucleotides long. The record is from Ensembl. Lineage: Eukaryota; Metazoa; Chordata; Mammalia; Artiodactyla; Bovidae.
GCUGGCAAGUGCAGCUGGAGGCGGUGGUGGAGACAGUCAAGCCAGGAACGUGGGUGGAGCAUGAAGGGCCAGCGAUUUCAGAAUAAGUGAUUGCCAAACAUACAUCGGGCUCCUCAAAGCUCCCAUGACCUCUCAGAGAAAAUGAGGGAAGUUUCCCAGGGCUCUGUCCUCUUCAGACUAGGAGUUCUCUAACUAAGUGACCUCAAACUAACUGACAGCCUUCGAACUAACACGGAAACAGCCCACCUGGGAACAAAGUCAGCAUGGAGUAAACUGAUCUGGAAGAUACUAAGAGCUGGAGAGGCAGAGAUCUGAUAACAUCAGGCCCUGGAUCCAGCCAUUCCUGAAGCUAACUCUCUGGAUAUUACUGCUAUGUGAGCCCAUGAGUGACAACUCCAGAGAAGGGAAUGUGGGAGGGCUUUCUAGAAGGAGAAGACAGCUUGGCCAAAGGUUCAGAGGUGCUGACGUGAGGGUCUGCUCGAGAGGAAGUGGUGAGUAACCCAGUGGUCGAAGGAGGGAGAAAAAUGCCUGGACAUGCUAGCGGACAUCUCUGUUGCCACACUGGGGAGGGGUGGUGAACUUGGCAGGCAGUAAGAGCAAUAAAAGGUUUAAUUAGGCAGGACCUAUGAUUUAGGUUAUUCAAGAUAUUAGCCAAGCAAGGGAUGACGGAAGUGGGCUGGCUGGUGGAAAGCCUGGCGAGAACUCUCUCCGGAGCAUCAGAGAGCAGCUUCAUCAGGGUGGCCCUGAGCAGGCCAGUAAGUAGGUCUCUCUGCAAAUGCACGAAAAAUAUUUGGUAAACACAUAUUAACGAAACCCUGGGUUGAAUCCUGUCAUCACUCCUUCUCCAAAUUAAUUUCUAGCCCAGAACCUCAGAAUGUGAUCUCAUUUGGAAAUACAGAUGCAGAUGAUUACAUUUGCAGAUAUAAUCAGUGAGGUUCAGAGGGGUCAUACUGGAUUAGGGUGGGCCCUUCAGCCCGUAUGACUGGUGUUCCCAUGAGGAGAGAUACAGAGACAGAGAGAGAUACAAGGAAAGAAGGCCCUGCGAUGACGGAGGCAUAAAUCAGAGUGACGCAACCGCAGGCCAGGGAAUACCAAGGCUUGCCUGCAAGCACCAGGAGCUGGGAGAGGAGGGCAAGGAUUCCACCUUGGAGGCUUCAGAGGGAGGCUGACCCCACUGACUCCUUGAUGGCAGAUCUCCAGCCUCCAAAACUGAGAUAAAAUACAUUUCUGUUAUUUUAAGCCACUCUUUUGGUGGUAAGUUGUUAUAGCACUCCUGACAAACCAUUACAAACCAGGAGCAAAGAGAAACUGGUUAUUAUGGCCAAAAGUUAUAUAGACCUCUUCAUUCCUAUUAAAAAUGGAAGAUUUACUGUGUACCCUGAACCAAAGGCGAACAUCCAACCGCCUGUGAAAUUGUUUUCCUUUCGCAGAUUUUCCCCAUUGCUCACAGCUGGACAUUACAUGUCAAGGAUGCUCUCAGAGGACUGGGAAAAGGUUCAGAGGUCCACAGAUAUGAUCCUUCUACUUGGGCUCCCGAAGCAAGCAGAAAGAUCCCUUCCCCUCCCCAUGAAGUCCAAGCAGGGCUGCAGAAAGAAGGGAGAGUUCAGGAAGAAGCACUUGCUUUUGCUCACUUGUUCAACCACUGUUUACUGGCUUUCUGUAUGAAUCGGGUACCUUGAAAGAUGCCAGGAGAGAUGGGAUGAGAUGAUGAUGGUCGUGAUCAUGAUGGCUAACAUUCUAUCAAGGACUUUGUACAUGCCAGGCACUGUUCUAGGAUGUUUCACAGGUCCUUAUGUGACUUCCCUGAUGGCUCAGAUGGUAAAGCAUCUGCCUACAAUGCAGGAGACCUGAGUUCGAUCCCUAGGUUAGGAAGAUCCCCUGAAGAAGGAAAUAGCAACCCACUCCAGUACUGUUGCCUUGAAAAUCCCAUGGAUGGAGGAACCUGGUAGGCUACAGUCCAUGGGGACAUAAAGAGUUGAACACGACUGAGCAACUUCACUUUCUUUCUUUCUUUCUUUUCUUUACGUGUAUUAACUGGUAUUUCUUAAAACGACCCUAGAAGAUAGCUCUGUUAUUAUGUACAACUUCCCAAUGAGGAGGCCGAGGCAGCAAAUUACAGAACGUGCCAGGGCCACAAAAGCUGGUGAGAUCAGAGAUGAGAUACAAAUGAUCUGCAGAGAUGAAAGUCCCAGCUUCCCAGGAGGAGGGGCGGG